AACGAACGCUGGCGGCGUGCUUAACACAUGCAAGUCGAACGCGAAAGGGACUUCGGUCCUGAGUAAAGUGGCGCACGGGUGGGUAACGCGUAGAUAACCUGUCUUCAUGUCUGGAAUAAUACGCCGAAAGGGGUACUAAUACCGGAUAUUCUUGCUUUUCAUAAGUUAUGCAAGCAAAGGUGGCCUCUGCAUAUGCUACUGCAUGAAGAGGGGUCUGCGUACCAUUAGCUAGUAGGUGGGGUAAUGGCCUACCUAGGCGACGAUGGUUAGCGGGUCUGAGAGGAUGAUCCGCCACACUGGCACUGGAACACGGGCCAGACUCCUACGGGAGGCAGCAGUGAGGAAUAUUGCGCAAUGGGGGAAACCCUGACGCAGCGACGCCGCGUGAGUGAAGGAAGGCCUUCGGGUCGUAAAGCUCUGUCAAGAGGAAAGAAGUGUACAAUGGCUAAUACCUGUUGUAUUUGACGGUACCUCUAAAGGAAGCACCGGCUAACUCCGUGCCAGCCGCAGC
This 511-nucleotide ribosomal RNA is filed under the name uncultured bacterium. RNAcentral's name for it is "bacterial SSU rRNA". It matches the Rfam family "Bacterial small subunit ribosomal RNA", at positions 29 to 518 of the family's 1533-position model. The record is from RNAcentral.